This 465-nucleotide long non-coding RNA is filed under the name Phasianus colchicus (ring-necked pheasant). Its description in RNAcentral is "lncRNA (ENSPCLG00000017174.1)". Lineage: Eukaryota; Metazoa; Chordata; Aves; Galliformes; Phasianidae. The record is from RNAcentral.
UCUGAAGAUUGGGAAUCUCCAAUGGAAAGUCGAUGGAAACCCUAUGGAACCCAAUGGAACCCUAUGGAACCCAAUGGAACCCUAUGGGAACCCUAUGGAACCCAAUGGAACCCUAUGGGAACCCUAUGGAACUCAAUGGAACCCUAUGGAACCCAAUGGAACCCAAUGGAACCCAAUGAAACCCAAUGGAACCCAGUGGAACCCAAUGGAACCCUAUGGAACCCUAUGGAACCCAAUGAAACCCAAUGGAAACCCUAUGGAACCCUAUGGAACCCAAUGAAACCCAAUGGAAACCCUAUGGAAACCCUAUGGAACCCAAUGAAACCCAAUGGAACCCAAUGGGAACUCAAUGAAAAGCCAAUGGAACCCAAUGGAACCCUAUGGAACCCUAUGGAACCCAAUGGAACCCAAUGGAACCCAAUGGGAGUCAAUGGGAGUCAAUGGGAGUCAGCCCCAUGAGGAGGG